Molecule: ribosomal RNA, 516 nt
Filed under: Salmonella enterica subsp. enterica serovar Infantis
Lineage: Bacteria; Pseudomonadati; Pseudomonadota; Gammaproteobacteria; Enterobacterales; Enterobacteriaceae
Also listed under: 5 other names
Description: partial 23S ribosomal RNA
Rfam family: Bacterial large subunit ribosomal RNA
Source: RNAcentral
AGACCCGAAACCCGGUGAUCUAGCCAUGGGCAGGUUGAAGGUUGGGUAACACUAACUGGAGGACCGAACCGACUAAUGUUGAAAAAUUAGCGGAUGACCUGUGGCUGGGGGUGAAAGGCCAAUCAAACCGGGAGAUAGCUGGUUCUCCCCGAAAGCUAUUUAGGUAGCGCCUCGUGAAUUCAUCUCCGGGGGUAGAGCACUGUUUCGGCUAGGGGGCCAUCCCGGCUUACCAACCCGAUGCAAACUGCGAAUACCGGAGAAUGUUAUCACGGGAGACACACGGCGGGUGCUAACGUCCGUCGUGAAGAGGGAAACAACCCAGACCGCCAGCUAAGGUCCCAAAGUCAUGGUUAAGUGGGAAACGAUGUGGGAAGGCCCAGACAGCCAGGAUGUUGGCUUAGAAGCAGCCAUCAUUUAAAGAAAGCGUAAUAGCUCACUGGUCGAGUCGGCCUGCGCGGAAGAUGUAACGGGGCUAAACCAUGCACCGAAGCUGCGGCAGCGACACUCAGGUGUUGU